GUGCAGCAGGCGCGAAAACUCCGCAAUGCGCGAAAGCGUGACGGGGUCACCCCGAGUGCCGUCCGCUGAGGAUGGCUUUUGCCUGGUCUAACCAGCCGGGUGAAUAAGGGGAGGGCAAGUCUGGUGUCAGCCGCCGCGGUAAUACCAGCUCCCCGAGUGGUUGGGACGAUUAUUGGGUCUGAAGCGUCCGUAGCCGGCCGGAAAAGUUCCCCGUUAAAUCUGGCGAUCCAAUCGUUGGGCUGCGGGGAAUACUCUUCGGCUUGGGGGCGAGGGAGGUCGGCGGUAAUCCCGGGGUAGGGGCGAAAUCCGUUGAUCCCGGGAGGACCACCAGUGGCGAAGGCGGCUGGCUUGAACACGCCUGACGGUGAGGGACGAAAGCUGGGGGAGCGAAUCGGAUUAGAUACCCGCGUAGUCC
This 415-nucleotide ribosomal RNA is filed under the name uncultured archaeon. RNAcentral describes it as "partial 16S ribosomal RNA". It matches the Rfam family "Archaeal small subunit ribosomal RNA", at positions 330 to 747 of the family's 1478-position model. The record is from RNAcentral.